Long non-coding RNA from Octopus sinensis (East Asian common octopus), 99 nucleotides. RefSeq lists it as uncharacterized. NCBI's taxonomy places the organism in Eukaryota, Metazoa, Mollusca, Cephalopoda, Octopoda, Octopodidae. The transcript is spliced from 3 exons. The record is from RefSeq and is a predicted model, not a curated record.
AAACCAAGGAAAAACGAUUCCCUUCAAAGGGAUGGAAAACACCUAAUUUUCACUGGUACUUCAGUUGAAUACCACAAAUAAAAUGUUGAAACCUGGCUU